This 468-nucleotide ribosomal RNA is filed under the name uncultured bacterium. RNAcentral's name for it is "partial 16S ribosomal RNA". It matches the Rfam family "Bacterial small subunit ribosomal RNA", at positions 28 to 523 of the family's 1533-position model. The record is from RNAcentral.
GAUGAACGCUGGCGGCGUGCCUAACACAUGCAAGUCGAGCGAUUCUCUUCGGAGAAGAGCGGCGGACGGGUGAGUAACGCGUGGGUAACCUGCCCUGUACACACGGAUAACAUACCGAAAGGUAUGCUAAUACGAGAUAAUAUGCUUUUGUCGCAUGGUAGAAGUAUCAAAGCUCCGGCGGUACAGGAUGGACCCGCGUCUGAUUAGCUAGUUGGUAAGGUAACGGCUUACCAAGGCGACGAUCAGUAGCCGACCUGAGAGGGUGAUCGGCCACGUUGGAACUGAGACACGGUCCAAACUCCUACGGGAGGCAGCAGUGGGGAAUAUUGCACAAUGGGCGAAAGCCUGAUGCAGCAACGCCGCGUGAGCGAUGAAGGCCUUCGGGUCGUAAAGCUCUGUCCUCAAGGAAGAUAAUGACGGUACUUGAGGAGGAAGCCCCGGCUAACUACGUGCCAGCAGCCGCAGUAA